GUAGGGUGCGAGCGUUAAUCGGAAUUACUGGGCGUAAAGCGUGCGCAGGCGGUUCGUUGUGUCGGUGGUGAAAGCCCCGGGCUUAACCUGGGAAUGGCCAUGGAAACUGGCGAACUGGAGUGUGGCAGAGGGGGGUGGAAUUCCGCGUGUAGCAGUGAAAUGCGUAGAGAUGCGGAGGAACACCGAUGGCGAAGGCAGCCCCCUGGGCUGACACUGACGCUCAGGCACGAAAGCGUGGGGAGCAAACAGGAUUAGAUACCCUGGUAGUCCACGCCCUAAACCAUGUCAACUAGGUGUUCGGGAAGCGAUUUCUGAGUACCGUAGCUAACGCGUGAAGUUGACCGCCUGGGGAGUACGGCCGCAAGGUUA
This 369-nucleotide ribosomal RNA is filed under the name uncultured bacterium. RNAcentral describes it as "bacterial SSU rRNA". It matches the Rfam family "Bacterial small subunit ribosomal RNA", at positions 527 to 896 of the family's 1533-position model. The record is from RNAcentral.